GAUUGGGGGAUUAGCUCAGCUGGGAGAGCACCUGCUUUGCAAGCAGGGGGUCGUCGGUUCGAUCCCGUCAUCC
RNAcentral lists this transfer RNA (73 nucleotides) under uncultured beta proteobacterium CBNPD1 BAC clone 578. RNAcentral describes it as "tRNA-Ile". It matches the Rfam family "tRNA". Rfam says of the family: Transfer RNA (tRNA) molecules are approximately 80 nucleotides in length. Their secondary structure includes four short double-helical elements and three loops (D, anti-codon, and T loops). Lineage: Bacteria; Pseudomonadati; Pseudomonadota; Betaproteobacteria. The record is from RNAcentral.